UACGUAGGGGGCUAGCGUUGUCCGGAAUCAUUGGGCGUAAAGCGCGUGUAGGCGGUCCGGUAAGUCCGCUGUGAAAGUCGGGGGCUCAACCCUCGGAUGCCGGUGGAUACUGUCGGGCUUGAGUACGGAAGAGGCGAGUGGAAUUCCUGGUGUAGCGGUGAAAUGCGCAGAUAUCAGGAGGAACACCAAUAGCGAAGGCAGCUCGCUGGGACGGUACUGACGCUGAGACGCGAAAGCGUGGGGAGCGAACAGG
Molecule: ribosomal RNA, 253 nt
Filed under: uncultured bacterium
Lineage: Bacteria
Description: partial 16S ribosomal RNA
Rfam family: Bacterial small subunit ribosomal RNA
Source: RNAcentral